Molecule: transfer RNA, 77 nt
Filed under: Thiobacillus sp.
Lineage: Bacteria; Pseudomonadati; Pseudomonadota; Betaproteobacteria; Nitrosomonadales; Thiobacillaceae
Description: tRNA-Val
Rfam family: tRNA
About the family: Transfer RNA (tRNA) molecules are approximately 80 nucleotides in length. Their secondary structure includes four short double-helical elements and three loops (D, anti-codon, and T loops).
Source: RNAcentral
AGGCGCGUAGCUCAGCUGGUUAGAGCACCACCGUGACAUGGUGGGGGUCGUUGGUUCGAGUCCAAUCGCGCCUACCA